GCCCUAUCGUCCAACGGUUAAGACACCGCCCUGAUAAGGCGGCAAUCCAAGUUCAAUUCUUGGUGGGGCUA
This 71-nucleotide transfer RNA is filed under the name Mycobacterium alsense. Its description in RNAcentral is "tRNA-Ile". It matches the Rfam family "tRNA". Rfam says of the family: Transfer RNA (tRNA) molecules are approximately 80 nucleotides in length. Lineage: Bacteria; Bacillati; Actinomycetota; Actinomycetes; Mycobacteriales; Mycobacteriaceae. The record is from RNAcentral.